UACAGAGGUCUCAAGCGUUGUUCGGAUUCAUUGGGCGUAAAGGGUGCGUAGGCGGCGCGGUAAGUCGGAUGUGAAAUCCCGGGGCUCAACCCCGGAACUGCAUUCGAUACUGCCUUGCUCGAGUACUGGAGAGGAGACUGGAAUUUACGGUGUAGCAGUGAAAUGCGUAGAUAUCGUAAGGAAGACCAGUGGCGAAGGCGAGUCUCUGGACAGUUACUGACACUGAGGCACGAAGGCCAGGGGAGCAAACGGG
This 253-nucleotide ribosomal RNA is filed under the name uncultured bacterium. RNAcentral's name for it is "partial 16S ribosomal RNA". It matches the Rfam family "Bacterial small subunit ribosomal RNA", at positions 524 to 776 of the family's 1533-position model. The record is from RNAcentral.